Molecule: ribosomal RNA, 646 nt
Filed under: uncultured fungus
Lineage: Eukaryota; Fungi
Description: eukaryotic LSU rRNA
Rfam family: Eukaryotic large subunit ribosomal RNA
Source: RNAcentral
CCCGCUGAACUUAAGCAUAUCAAUAAGCGGAGGAAAAGAAACUAACAAGGAUUCCCCUAGUAACUGCGAGUGAAGCGGGAAGAGCUCAAAUUUUGAAUCUGGCGGUGUUUGGCCGUCCGAGUUGUAAUCUAGAGAAGCGUCUUCCGCGCUGGACCGUGUACAAGUCUCCUGGAAGGGAGCGUCAUAGAGGGUGAGAAUCCCGUCUUUGACACGGACUACCAGUGCUAUGUGAUGCGCUCUCGACGAGUCGAGUUGUUUGGGAAUGCAGCUCAAAAUGGGUGGUAAAUUCCAUCUAAAGCUAAAUACAGGCGAGAGACCGAUAGCGAACAAGUACCGUGAGGGAAAGAUGAAAAGAACUUUGGAAAGAGAGUUAAACAGUAUGUGAAAUUGCUGAAAGGGAAACGCUUGAUGUCAGUCACGUUGGCUAGGGAUCAACCUUGCUUCUUGCUGGGUGUAUUUCCUAGCCGACGGGUCAGCAUCAGUUUCGGUCGCUGUACACUGGCAAAGGGAACGUGGCACUCCAAGGAGUGUGUCAUAGCCUUUCUUACAUAUCGCAGUGUGUUGGGACUGAGGAUCUCGGCGCGAAAUCUAUCGUGUGCUUAGGAUGCUGGCAUAAUGGCCUUAAGCGACCCGUCUUGAAACACGG